CUUUAAAUUCUUCGGGAAUGUCAUUUACAUUAGAUUUUGGCACCGUGAUUCUUUUAGUGCUCUUCGUCAACUUUUCUCUAAUAUUUGACAGUUAAAUUUCAUGGUCAGGACCACAAUCUGCUCCUGGUCCUGUUUUGGCAGAGAAAAUACAGCUUCUCCAUCUCCUGCUUUCACUUACGUAGUCUAUUUGAUUUCUAUAUUAUCCAUCUGGUGAUGUCCAUGUAGACAGUUGCCUGUUCAGUCGCUUUAAGCAUGUUUUUGCAAUGGACAGAUUGUCGGCUUCACAUAAAUCCGUGAGCCAGUCUCCUGCUUUGUUUCUGACCCCUUGACCGAAUUUUCUGCCAAUGUUUGAUUCCAUUUUAUUUCUUGCUUUUGUGUUCCAGUCACCUCUAAUUAUUAGCAUACCUUGUUUUACUGUAUGAUCAAUUUCUUCCAGGACACUUGAAUAAAAACUUUCAAUUUUAUCUUCUUCAGCAUCUGUGGUUGGAGCAUAGACUUGGGUGAUGGCUAUGUUAAUAGGUUUUCCCAGACGUCUGAUUAACAUUACUUGGUCAACCUUGCAUUGGAUCCCUAACUGCCUGUGCUACAUCUGGCCUCAGUAUUAGAGCCACUCUGUUUCUUUUGAGUUUGUCGUUUCCUGGGUAGAAGACUUUAUAGUGGUCUGAUUAAAAGUGUCUCGUUCUAGUCCAUUUUAGUUCACUAACACCAAGCACUGCAAUAUUUAAACAUUCCACUUCUUGCUUUACAAUUUCCAGUUUACCUUGGCUCAUGCUUCUCACACUGCAUGUUCCAAUUGCGUGUGUUGUACACCAUCAGACUUUCCUUUAACCCUCGUGCACUUCAGCAGCUAGAUAUCCUUCCAGCUUUAGUCUAAUUGCACAUUAACAAGACUGCUGUUCUUUUUCUUUUUUAAAGAUUGGCACCUGAGCUAACAACUGUUGCCAAUCUUUUCUUUUUUUUUUUUUCUGCUUUAUCUCCCGAAAUCCCCCCAAUACAUAGUUGUAUAUCUUAGUUGCAGGUCCUUCUAGUUGUGGCAUGUGGGUCACCGCCUCAACAUGGCCUGACGAGCAUGCCAUGUCCAUGCCCAGGAUCCGAACCAGUGAAACCGUGGGCUUCCGCAGCGGAGCACGUCAGCUUAACCACUCGGCCACGGGGCGGCCCCCAACACGCCAUUCUUAUUUGUUCUUUGCUCUUCCCCAGUAAGAGUGUGAGUGCCUUCGGACCUGGAGGUCUCAUCUCCCAGCAUUAUCUCAUAUUUCACUUUGGACUGUUUCAUCACAGGUUUCUCAAGAUCAAAAAAGCUAAAAAAGGAAAAAUAUAGCAGCGGUUUACCGUCAUCUUCUGCUGUACAGUGUGUGAGUCCAAACCACAUGUGCUCUGGCCCGUACUGUGAAAAUCACCAAACACCUAAGAUGAACUGUAUCCCACUCUAAAUUCAGCUACUUAUUGACCCAUAUUUGACACUUCAUCUCUAGUACACUUACAGCAUCAACAUACAAGACAGUUGUCUACAUGCUGUGCAUUCUGCCUAAGACCACAUGUGAACUGCAAAGCAAAAACCUGUCAAACACUGACAUACUAGUAUUACCCAUUUCCAUCUAGCUUCUACAGAGGAGAAAAGAGGUGAAUCAAGUAUUCCGUCUUUCCCUCAUCAAAUGUUCAUUGAGCACUUCCUAUAUUUCAACUACUAGAAAAAUUUUCUUCUUAAGAGAGUUACUUAGAGGUUAUCAAAUGGAAUCAGAUACAUAGGCACUGGGCUUGGAUGAGACAGCCCAUAGAGAACUUGUAGACAUUGCCUUUCAACUUUGGUUGCACAUCAAUAAUUUUCUUGAGCUUUUGCAACUACACUUCCUGGAGUCCCAUCCAAGAGUUACUACAUAAAAAUUUCUGAGAAUGGGGGUCAAACAAGUUAUUUGAAAAGUCCUGCAGAGGAUAAUAUUUCCAGCAAUUGUAAAGGACCGCUGUGUAGAGAAAAAUAAGAAGAGAGAGAUUAAUCCACUUCGAACACCAGUAAUUAAGUGGGUGAUUGUAUGGUGAGGAUGAAGAUGAAACUGGGAAGGAACAAUGAAGUGAAAGAAAGAGAACUUGAGAGAAUGGAAUCCUAACAAAGCAAGAAGGUCAAAAGUUUCAAAAAUGAAUAGUGAUAAAAAAUAUAUCUUGCAGAGAAUCCAAGAAUUAUGACAAUAAAAUAUAGGUUAAGG
This 2201-nucleotide long non-coding RNA is filed under the name Equus caballus (horse). RNAcentral describes it as "lncRNA (ENSECAG00000035498.3)". Lineage: Eukaryota; Metazoa; Chordata; Mammalia; Perissodactyla; Equidae. The record is from RNAcentral.